UACUCGAUGAAUGGCUUUGCCAACCU
RNAcentral lists this non-coding RNA (26 nucleotides) under Rattus norvegicus (Norway rat). Lineage: Eukaryota; Metazoa; Chordata; Mammalia; Rodentia; Muridae. The record is from RNAcentral.